RNAcentral lists this long non-coding RNA (376 nucleotides) under Dermacentor andersoni. RNAcentral describes it as "uncharacterized LOC126544896". Lineage: Eukaryota; Metazoa; Arthropoda; Arachnida; Ixodida; Ixodidae. The record is from RNAcentral.
CGCCGGCUCGUUUCUGUGAGUGUCAUCGAAAUUGCAAUCAGCGGACCGUCAAGCGUGCGUUGCACCUAUCCGCUCCGGGUUGCGGGUACGGUGUUCGAUGAUAUUUAAUAACUUUGGUGAAGUGGUAAGAAACACAUAAUUUUGAAACUUGUAUUCCACUAUGACGGGUUGCAGCGCACCAAACUGCGCAAAUCGCACGUGCGGACGGACGAGACCAGCCAGCUCCGAAAGGGACCAGGAUAUGCGAGGUGCGUUCGCCUUGUUUACAGAGUGGCUUUGAAUUCUGCACCCAAGGCUCCAAGAACCGGCACUCAUCCCCUGCUGCCACCAGCCAUUGCUCAUCCAUUCCCUUGUACGAAAUAAAUUUGAUCUAGAA